Molecule: non-coding RNA, 88 nt
Organism: Pangasianodon gigas (Mekong giant catfish)
Lineage: Eukaryota; Metazoa; Chordata; Actinopteri; Siluriformes; Pangasiidae
Source: the annotation of a GenBank genome assembly
AGGGUUAGGGUUAGGCACAGCCGCAUCCCCACCCUGAUAUCUUUUAUAGCUCCCACAGAAGAAAAAAGAGCAGAGUGCCAUAUGGUAG